AUACGUAGGUGGCGAGCGUUGUCCGGAUUUACUGGGCGUAAAGGGAGCGUAGGCGGAUUUUUAAGUGAGAUGUGAAAUACUCGGGCUUAACCUGAGUGCUGCAUUUCAAACUGGAAGUCUAGAGUGUCGGAGAGGUAAGUGGAAUUCCUAGUGUAGCGGUGAAAUGCGUAGAGAUUAGGAAGAACCCCCGGUGGCGAAGGCGGCUUUCUGGACUGUAACUGACACUGAGGCACGAAAGCGUGGGGAGC
This 248-nucleotide ribosomal RNA is filed under the name uncultured bacterium. RNAcentral's name for it is "partial 16S ribosomal RNA". It matches the Rfam family "Bacterial small subunit ribosomal RNA", at positions 523 to 769 of the family's 1533-position model. The record is from RNAcentral.